AAAAAAAAAAAAAAGAAGCUACCCUAGGAAAUCCCGUAGACCUGAAAUCCCUGGUCAAAUGUGGGAUCCCACUUCACAUGGGAGGUCAUCCUUCAUUAAAAUUUCCUCCGAGAACAACCCAGAGGUUCCAAAACGCAGAGGGAACCAAAGGAAGUUCCAUAGGUGGCCAUUCACGCGUGCUCCCCACAGACCCAUAGAAUGAGCGGAAGACGCGCGUUGAAUGCUCUGGUGCCUCAGACUACAGAAUCAGUGGAGACCCUCCGGAUUCAAAGUGGCACAUUUCUCUUCCAGGGCCAGGUCUUGAAAUAUGACCCGUGUGCCAGUAUUAGGAACUGAGGGUCUGAAAGAAGCUUCCCGGGGUCACAGGGUAAACAAGUGUCAGAGCUCUGACAGACACUUAGAGGGCGAGGACCCAGAACCUGUGCUCUUGAGCUCCUGUGCUCUUGAGGAGGAGGUUGCCCACCAGGUGGACGUGCCUGGCCGAUGUCCUUCUGGGCAGGGAAUCGUCUUGUCCAUGGUCUGUCUGAGGCCACGGCAGUAUGCAGCCACUACUGCUUUGUGGUCACUUCGGGCCCUGCCUCCUCUGCUCUCGGAAAGGACAUGACACCCACCCAGAUUGCUCACGGCUAGAGGCGUUGUGCAUAAAGAUCUGGUGGGUCAAAUACAGCCCCGAAAGCCUGCAUCAAACUGGAUGUUGAAAGCACUAGUUCCUCUGUGUGAGCGUCUCGCCAGAGACCUGCCAACGCUAAAAGCAGAAGUUGGGGAGUGUUCCGUUCCCACAUUCCGAAGUGAGGUGUGGGGCAGUCUUGCCAAAACCUGGCCAGAAGGCGUCCUGCGGACAUUCACUCUUCGCUCAAGGAGGGGAUGUCAAAGAACCGAUGUGCAGCAAGGCGGGGGAAAGACUCUUUUCAGACUGUGGCCACCCUAUCAGGCAUUUUACCCCAGCUCAGGAGGGAAGGAGAAACACGGACUUCCCUUGGUUUCAAGCCAAAUGCAGGGGGCUUCAGAGAAUUGCCCCCAUGAGGGCCAGCCCAGCAGUCCACUCACUGCAGACACAGUGAGUGGUCUUCAAACCCGUGAAGGAAAAGAUGCUCUCUGAGAAAGGCUGUGGUCCAAAGAGGGCUGUUUGGAUGUCUGCUCCAAGGUAGCACUGGAGAAGACCCCUUAUGGACGCCUGUGAGAAUGACCAGGUGCUCCCACUUGUGGCGGUUUCACCUGGAAACUUUGGGCUUCUAGAACAAGGUGGCGAUGUGAUAUCAGCUGCUCCAGAGGCUCAGAAACCUCCGUGGCCACAGGAGGAUCCUCUUCAUUGGUCACAGUGGCCUAAAGGUGGAUUGCUUCCUGCUGGCCUGAUCUGUGGACAUUGCUAUGCCUCCCGUGGAGUCCCAGGGGUCACGCAGCACUUAGUUCUCCAUGAGUGAUGUGUGAAAACAUGUGCAUGUUCUGUGCAGAAUGGCUUAUCCCCAUCUCCACUGUGGCUGCUUGAACCAGAGUGUUCAGGAAGUGUCCUCCUCUUCCUGGCUUUGUUGAUCCGUAUUCUUUGUUUUAUGUAUUUAGAAUCCUAUUUCCACACACAUCAUUGAAGUAUGUCUCCUGAACCUUGUGUCUCCCCCUUUUCAGCCGGCUCUUUGGUUGCUCCUGGUCUGAUGUGUGAACUUUCCAGGGAUUCCAGGGGUUCCCCGUGGGUGGUUCCCACUUACUUGUUUUCCCACCAGUGUUGUGUGAGAAUGAGUGUAUGUUUUAGAGCAUGUGCUCUCAUUGUUAGCUCCAUCAUGGCCCCUCAAACCGAAGUGUUCAAAGGAGCACCUGUUCUGAUUGCCUUGCUGAUCCAUGAUCUUUUGGUUUUAAGUAUUUGGAAUCCUGAUUCUAUUAAUGUAUUUGAAACAUCUCCAUUUCUUGACUCUAUUUGGUGAAAUAGCUUAAGGUGUUAAUUAAGGUGAAGUGAGGUCAUUAGGGUGGGGCCUUAAUAUGUAAGGAACACUGGCCUUAAAAGGAGAGGAAAGGGACACCUGGGUGGCUCAAUCCAUAGAUCAUGUGGCUCUUGAUCUUGAGAUCAUCACUUCGAGCCCCAUGUUGAGCACAGGUCUUACUUAAUCAAAAAAAUAACUAGGUAAAUACAUAAAUAUUUGAAAAAGAAGAGCAAGUGACACCAUAGAUCUCUUUCCGUGUGUACACACAGGAAAGGCCAUGUGUAAAUGCAGGGAGAAGGCAGCCUUGUGCAAGCCAGGGAGAGAGGCUUGUCUAGAAACUUACCCUGCUAGCACUUUGAUUUUGAACUUCCAGUCUGCAGAAGUGUAAAAAAAUACAUUUCUAACGUUUACACCAUGUUUUGUG
Acinonyx jubatus (cheetah) is the source of this 2334-nucleotide long non-coding RNA. RefSeq lists it as uncharacterized. The transcript is spliced from 3 exons. The record is from RefSeq and is a predicted model, not a curated record. NCBI's taxonomy places the organism in Eukaryota, Metazoa, Chordata, Mammalia, Carnivora, Felidae.